GAUGAACGCUGGCGGCGUGCUUAAUACAUGCAAGUCGAACGAGGGACUUUUGUCUUCGGAUAGAGGUUUCCUAGUGGCGAACGGGUGAGUAACGCGUUGGUGACCUGCCCCGAAGUGGGGGAUAACAGUUCGAAAGGACUGCUAAUACCUCAUGAUAUCAAUUGGACUAGAUACCUUUUGAUCAAAGGCGUAAGCCGCUUUGGGAGGGGCCUGCGUCCCAUCAGCUUGUUGGUAGGGUAAUGGUCUACCAAGGCUAAGACGGGUAGGGGACCUAAGAGGGUGACCCCCCACACUGGCACUGAAACACGGGCCAGACACCUACGGGAGGCAG
This 331-nucleotide ribosomal RNA is filed under the name uncultured Chloroflexota bacterium. RNAcentral describes it as "bacterial SSU rRNA". It matches the Rfam family "Bacterial small subunit ribosomal RNA", at positions 28 to 351 of the family's 1533-position model. The record is from RNAcentral. Lineage: Bacteria; Bacillati; Chloroflexota.